Molecule: ribosomal RNA, 252 nt
Filed under: Triticum aestivum (bread wheat)
Lineage: Eukaryota; Viridiplantae; Streptophyta; Magnoliopsida; Poales; Poaceae
Description: partial small subunit ribosomal RNA
Source: RNAcentral
AUGCCGACAAACAUUUCAAAAGGCAAUAAAAAAGCCAUUAAAUUAACUAAACAAACGGAUAUAAGGGGAGUAAAAGUAAAAUUUGCGGAUUGUCUCAGAGGAAAAGAAAUUGCACGUGCCGAAUCCAUUAAAAAGGGCAAACUUCCUCUCCAAACAAUUCACGCUAAAAUUGAUUAUUGCUGCUAUCCAAUUCAAACUAUCUAUGGAGUAUUUUUUUUAGAGAAAAGGCACAAAGGCCCGACUUCAAAUUAA